GACGAACGCUGGCGGCGUGCUUAACACAUGCAAGUCGAGCGGGGUCCAACCACUGGCAACAGUGGGGAAGACCUAGCGGCGAACGGGUGAGUAACACGUGAGGAACCUGCCCCAGAGACCGGGAUAACCCUCCGAAAGGAGAGCUAAUACCGGAUGCCGUCAUCGGAUCGCAUGGUCUGAUGACGAAAUGGAUUCCGCUCUGGGAGGGCCUCGCGGCCUAUCAGCUUGNGGUGAGGUAACGGCUCACCAAGGCAUCGACGGGUAGCUGGUCUGAGAGGACGAUCAGCCACACUGGGACUGAGACACGGCCCAGACUCCUACGGGAGGCAGCAGUGGGGAAUCUUGCGCAAUGGGCGAAAG
This 360-nucleotide ribosomal RNA is filed under the name uncultured bacterium. RNAcentral describes it as "bacterial SSU rRNA". It matches the Rfam family "Bacterial small subunit ribosomal RNA", at positions 28 to 381 of the family's 1533-position model. The record is from RNAcentral.